GUUUGGAGCACUGCUGGCCAUGGAGUGGAACUUGUGGGCAUAUUGACAUCCAAACGGGUGUUGGACAGAAGUGUUUUCCCUUGGCUUAUCAAGGCAAGAGUCAUGUUUCAGUGCAAUGCAUGAGUGGGCUCCUCGGGCUAAGGGAAGGCAGGGGAGCGGCAGUAAACGAGAAUAAUGUCUCCGUUUCAACAGGCAAGCCGACAUGGAACAGAUGGCGAAGACGCCAGCCACAAGACUAAUGUAUUCAUAUUUCUCUCUUAUUGACUCAUUGUAAUUAAGGCCUAAGUGGAUUAUGAACAUACAAACAAAUAUCUCCCACCUCGGAUUCAUGCCUGGCAUGCUGUGAAGAUGACUGACAUCCUGCAUAUUACGCUAUAGUGGGGGAAACGUUAAUAGGUAAUUCAGAGUGAUAGAAAUCGAAGUGUCAACACAAAGGAAGAUGAGAACAAUAUUGGCCUUUAAAGAUUAGGAGUAACUAGGGGAGAUUAAGAAGCAGAGAGGCCAAAGUAGCCAUUGUGUGCCAGACACAUUGAGGAUAGAGAAUAACUUCCGGGACAUGGGGGAAAGCAGAUGGAAAAAUAGAAGUCUGUUGCUUUUCUCCCCUGAGAUCUUUUCUUCACAUGUGUAAAGCUGCUGUUUAAACAGGCCCUGAGACCUCACGUAAG
Mus musculus (house mouse) is the source of this 665-nucleotide long non-coding RNA. RefSeq annotates it as predicted gene, 36477. Lineage: Eukaryota; Metazoa; Chordata; Mammalia; Rodentia; Muridae. The record is from RefSeq and is a predicted model, not a curated record. The transcript has 3 exons.